Molecule: long non-coding RNA, 1227 nt
Filed under: Nicotiana benthamiana
Lineage: Eukaryota; Viridiplantae; Streptophyta; Magnoliopsida; Solanales; Solanaceae
Description: long non-coding RNA (NBEN_LNC016404)
Source: RNAcentral
UUUUGUGAUAUAUAUAUAUAUAUAUAUAUAUAUAUAUACUUAGGUACAGUCUAAAGAAAACCCACCUCACCUACACAAAUAGAGUACAAAAACUUUCUUUAUAUGCAAUGAGCUGUACCCUUAAAUCUGCCACCUUUGUUGUUCACGAGCCUAUUUAUAGUUCUCUUUUCUUUCUCUCCAUAUAAACCUUCUCAUCUUAUAUUACUAAGUUUAAUGUCAUAGAAAACUCCAUUCAAGAAAACCUUUCAAAUGACUCAAAAAAAUCCUUUUUUAUUCCUUAAACUUAUCUAUGUUUACCUUGUUUUGUUAUCUUGUCUGAAUAGUGUAACGGGUAUUCGCGAGUUAUCCAGUACCAAUGCUAGGAUCGAGCUGUUGAGCCCAAAUAUUGGUGGAACAUAUGUGAUGAUGAAACCACAGAAAAGCCAUAAUAAAGGUCCUAUUUUUCAUGGCAAAGAAGUAAGGAAUUGUUUGCCUAAGGGAUUUAGACAUGCUUCUGCACCAAGUAGGUAUGUGAAUUAUCAUAUUUUAGGUUCAAUUGGAUGUUCACAAGGCAAGAAUUUCAAGAAACCAUAGAAUAGCUUGAAGUGAAUAAUAUGAAAUGGUAUUUGUGUACAUGCAAGAUUGCCGGUUUUUUGUUUUUUUAUGAGAGUGAUAUUAUUAUUUUUUUUACAUUACAAUAUUUUGUAAUGCUCUAGAAUUAAGAAAGAGGAUGAAGAUCUCAUUGUGCAAUUAUGCACUUUGUUUUUAGUUAUGUUUUUCUUUUCCUCUGUCUUGUUUGGCUUCUCUUAUCAGGAGAAGGGUGCAAGUAUCAUGCAAUUGGCAAUAUUUUGAAUCAUUUCCACCUAUUAUCUUUUGUGUGUAUACACUAGACAAUGAAAAUAAUUUUGACCAAAUUGUUCUUCAAUAAUAUGGUAAGAAAACUCCCACCUAUUAUCUUUUGUGUGUAUACACUAGACAAUGAAAAUAAUUUGAGAAACCAAAUUAUUUUUCAAUAAUAUGGUAAGAAUCAGAAUUAGAAUUGUAAACUAAUGGAUAUAAAGAGUCAUCGCGUGUAUUAUUGUUAAUACAUAUGACAUGUAAAAGAAAAUAGAACUACAAUUUGUUUCCAAAUAAACUUGAGCAAGAACAAGUUUUGUUUGUGAUUAUUUCCCUCUUUUCUUCAUUGUUCCUACUAACAAACACGAGACAAAUUGGAAUGGGACCACCAUACAUAGUGUAGCAGUGGGA